This 2784-nucleotide ribosomal RNA is filed under the name Vibrio campbellii. RNAcentral describes it as "bacterial LSU rRNA". The stretch from base 697 to 2784 matches the Rfam family "Bacterial large subunit ribosomal RNA". Lineage: Bacteria; Pseudomonadati; Pseudomonadota; Gammaproteobacteria; Vibrionales; Vibrionaceae. The record is from RNAcentral.
AGUUAGCCGGUGCUUCUUCUGUCGCUAACGUCAAAUAAUGCAGCUAUUAACUACACUACCUUCCUCACGACUGAAAGUGCUUUACAACCCGAAGGCCUUCUUCACACACGCGGCAUGGCUGCAUCAGGCUUGCGCCCAUUGUGCAAUAUUCCCCACUGCUGCCUCCCGUAGGAGUCUGGACCGUGUCUCAGUUCCAGUGUGGCUGAUCAUCCUCUCAGACCAGCUAGGGAUCGUCGCCUUGGUGAGCCCUUACCUCACCAACUAGCUAAUCCCACCUAGGCAUAUCCUGACGCGAGAGGCCCGAAGGUCCCCCUCUUUGGCCCGUAGGCAUUAUGCGGUAUUAGCCAUCGUUUCCAAUGGUUAUCCCCCACAUCAGGGCAAUUUCCUAGGCAUUACUCACCCGUCCGCCGCUCGACGCCGUUAUCGUCCCCCGAAGGUUCAGAUAACUCGUUUCCGCUCGACUUGCAUGUGUUAGGCCUGCCGCCAGCGUUCAAUCUGAGCCAUGAUCAAACUCUUCAAUUUAAGAUUUUGUUCGGCUCAAUGAAUACUGAACAUUACAUAAAGUAAUGUUUGAAUUGACUGUGCUGAAUCUUUCGAUUCAAUGGUCACUUCGUUUCAUUGAAACCUAAUUUGAAGCCGAAGCUUCUAAUUGGAUUAUCAUCAACGAGUGCCCACACAGAUUGAUAGGUCUAUAUUGUUAAAGAGCUUGGCUUUCAGUGCCUUAGCACUUAAGCGAGGUGCGUAUAAUACGCUUUCCACUUUGAAAGUCAACAUAAAACUCUAAAAUAAUUUAGAACUUUAUGGUGACUUGCUUAAAUAUUAAGCAAGUGCGAAAUAAAGCCUGGCGAUGUCCUACUCUCACAUGGGGAAGCCCCACACUACCAUCGGCGCUAAUUCGUUUCACUUCUGAGUUCGGAAUGGAAAUCAGGUGGGUCCAAAUCGCUAUGGUCGCCAAGCAAAUUCUUUAAUUCGGAAAGCUGUUUCAGUUCUUACACAUUCAAUUUGGGAAGAUGUAACGGGGCUAAGUAGUAAACCGAAGCUGCGGCAAUGCACUUUAGUGCAUUGGGUAGGGGAGCGUUCUGUAAGCGGUUGAAGGUGUGUGGUAACGCAUGCUGGACGUAUCAGAAGUGCGAAUGCUGACAUGAGUAACGAUAAAGGGGGUGAAAAACCUCCUCGCCGGAAGACCAAGGGUUCCUGUCCAACGUUAAUCGGGGCAGGGUAAGUCGACCCCUAAGGCGAGGCCGAAAGGCGUAGUCGAUGGGAAACGGGUUAAUAUUCCCGUACUUCUUACAAUUGCGAUGGGGGGACGGAGAAGGCUAGGUGGGCCUGGCGACGGUUGUCCAGGUUCAAGUGCGUAGGCUGAGAAAUUAGGUAAAUCCGGUUUCUCUUAAGGCUGAGACACGACGUCGAGCUACUACGGUAGUGAAGUCAUUGAUGCCAUGCUUCCAGGAAAAGCCUCUAAGCUUCAGAUUGUAAGGAAUCGUACCCCAAACCGACACAGGUGGUCGGGUAGAGAAUACCAAGGCGCUUGAGAGAACUCGGGUGAAGGAACUAGGCAAAAUGGUACCGUAACUUCGGGAGAAGGUACGCUCUCGACGGUGAAGUCCCUCGCGGAUGGAGCUAUUGAGAGUCGCAGAUACCAGGUGGCUGCAACUGUUUAUUAAAAACACAGCACUGUGCAAAAUCGUAAGAUGACGUAUACGGUGUGACGCCUGCCCGGUGCCGGAAGGUUAAUUGAUGGGGUUAGACUUCGGUCGAAGCUCUUGAUCGAAGCCCCGGUAAACGGCGGCCGUAACUAUAACGGUCCUAAGGUAGCGAAAUUCCUUGUCGGGUAAGUUCCGACCUGCACGAAUGGCGUAAUGAUGGCCACGCUGUCUCCACCCGAGACUCAGUGAAAUUGAAAUCGCUGUGAAGAUGCAGUGUACCCGCGGCUAGACGGAAAGACCCCGUGAACCUUUACUACAGCUUGGCACUGAACAUUGACCCUACAUGUGUAGGAUAGGUGGGAGGCUUUGAAACUAGUACGCCAGUAUUAGUGGAGCCGUCCUUGAAAUACCACCCUUGUAGUGUUGAUGUUCUAACGUCGACCCCUUAUCGGGGUUGCGGACAGUGCCUGGUGGGUAGUUUGACUGGGGCGGUCUCCUCCCAAAGCGUAACGGAGGAGCACGAAGGUGGGCUAAUCACGGUUGGACAUCGUGAGGUUAGUGCAAUGGCAUAAGCCCGCUUGACUGCGAGAAUGACAAUUCGAGCAGGUGCGAAAGCAGGUCAUAGUGAUCCGGUGGUUCUGAAUGGAAGGGCCAUCGCUCAACGGAUAAAAGGUACUCCGGGGAUAACAGGCUGAUACCGCCCAAGAGUUCAUAUCGACGGCGGUGUUUGGCACCUCGAUGUCGGCUCAUCACAUCCUGGGGCUGAAGUCGGUCCCAAGGGUAUGGCUGUUCGCCAUUUAAAGUGGUACGCGAGCUGGGUUUAGAACGUCGUGAGACAGUUCGGUCCCUAUCUGCCGUGGGCGUUGGAAGAUUGAAGGGGGCUGCUCCUAGUACGAGAGGACCGGAGUGGACGAACCUCUGGUGUUCGGGUUGUGUCGCCAGACGCAUUGCCCGGUAGCUAAGUUCGGAAUCGAUAACCGCUGAAAGCAUCUAAGCGGGAAGCGAGCCCUGAGAUGAGUCUUCCCUGAUACUUUAAGUAUCCUAAAGGGUUGUUCGAGACUAGAACGUUGAUAGGCAGGGUGUGUAAGCGUUGUGAGGCGUUGAGCUAACCUGUACUAAUUGCCCGUGAGGCUUAACC